AGUGGACGCGAGCAUCUUUGUGGCCAAGUUUUUUAGGGCACACGGUGGAUGCCUUGGCAUCAGGAGCCGAUGAAGGACGUGGGAGGCUGCGUUAAGCCUCGGGGAGUCGCCAACCAGACGUUGAUCCGGGGAUGUCCGAAUGGGGAAACCUAGCACCAGUCAUGUGGUGUUGCCUCCGCCUGAAUGUAUAGGGCGGUUGGUGGUAACGCGGGGAAGUGAAACAUCUCAGUACCCGUAGGAAGAGAAAACAAGAGUGAUUCCGUGAGUAGUGGUGAGCGAAAGCGGAUGAGGCUAAACCGGGCGUGUGUGAUAGCCGGCAGGCGUUGCAUGUCCGGGGUCGUGGGACCUUCUUGAAGGGGCUGCCGCUUCUUCGAGCAGUGAUAAAUCGAUGGGGUAGUUGAAAGCUCUGGGAAGGGCUGCCGUAGACCGUGAGAGCCGGGUAGGCGAAACCUUGUCGACUGCUGGAGGGGAUCCCAAGUAGCACGGGGCUCGAGGAAUCCUGUGUGAAUCUGCCAGGACCACCUGGUAAGCCUAAAUACUCCCUGAUGACCGAUAGUGCACGAGUACCGUGAGGGAAAGGUGAAAAGUGCCCCGGUGAGGGGUCGUGAAAUAGUACCUGAAACCGUGUGCCUACAAGCCGUAGGAGCUUACAACAGCUUGCUGUUGUGUGAUGUGACUGCGUGCCUUUUGAAGAAUGAGCCUGCGAGUUAUGGUGUGUGGCGAGGUUAACCCGUGUGGGGGAGCCGUAGCGAAAGCGAGUCUGAAUAGGGCGUUUGAGUCGCAUGCUGUAGACCCGAAGCGGAGUGAUCUACGCAUGGGCAGGUUGAAGCUCAGGUAAGACUGGGUGGAGGACCGAACCCACCAGGGUUGAAAACCUGGGGGAUGACCUGUGUGUAGGGGUGAAAGGCCAAUCAAACUCCGUGAUAGCUGGUUCUCCCCGAAAUGCAUUUAGGUGCAGCGUUGCGUGUUUCUUGCCGGAGGUAGAGCACUGGAUGGCUAAUGGGCCCGACAAGGUUACUGACGUCAGCCAAACUCCGAAUGCCGGUAAGUGAGAGCGUGGCAGUGAGACUGCGGGCGAUAAGGUUCGUAGUCGAGAGGGAAACAGCCCAGAUCACCGACUAAGGCCCCUAAGCGUGUGCUAAGUGGGAAAGGAUGUGGAGUCGCAGAGACAACCAGGAGGUUGGCUUAGAAGCAGCCACCCUUGAAAGAGUGCGUAAUAGCUCACUGGUCAAGUGAUUCCGCGCCGACAAUGUAGCGGGGCUCAAGUACACCGCCGAAGUCGUGGCACUGAUGAGAUUUUGUUCUUGUUGGUGGGUAGGGGAGCGUCGUGCAGCCGGCGAAGCAGCAGAGUGAUCUAGUUGUGGAGGCUGUGCGAGUGAGAAUGCAGGCAUGAGUAGCGAAUCGAGGGUGAGAAACCCUCGCGCCGGAUGACCAAGGGUUCCUGGGGCAGGCUAAUCCGCCCAGGGUAAGUCGGGACCUAAGGCGAGGCCGACAGGCGUAGUCGAUGGACAACGGGUUGAUAUUCCCGUACCCGCUUCAAUGCGCCCAUACUGAACCUCGUGAUGCUAAGAGUCCUUAGCUCGCCUAAAGCCUUCGGGCUUGGGGUCAGAGUGAACGCUCGAUCCGAUCGGGUAGUAGGUAAGCGAUGGGGUGACGCAGGAAGGUAGUCCAGCCCAGGCGAUGGUUGUCCUGGGGUAAGCAUGUAGGGAGCGAGGUAGGCAAAUCCGCCUCGUACUGUAUCCUGAGAUGUGAUGCCGAGCCGAUUGUGGUGAAGUGGAUGAUCCUAUGCUGCCGAGAAAAGCCUCUAGUGAGUGUUGUGGCGGCCCGUACCCUAAACCGACUCAGGUGGUCAGGUAGAGAAUACUAAGGCGAUCGGGUGAACUGUGGUUAAGGAACUCGGCAAAUUGCCCCCGUAACUUCGGGAGAAGGGGGGCCUCUGUUGGUGAUGAGUCUUGCGCUCUGAGCUGGUGGGGGCCGCAGUGGCCAGGGGGAAGCGACUGUUUACUAAAAACACAGGUCUGUGCGAAGUCGUAAGACGAUGUAUACGGACUGACGCCUGCCCGGUGCCGGAACGUUAAGGGGACCGCUUAGUGCAUUUCGGUGUGCGAAGGUGAGAACUUAAGCGCCGGUAAACGGCGGUGGUAACUAUAACCAUCCUAAGGUAGCGAAAUUCCUUGUCGGGUAAGUUCCGACCUGCACGAAUGGCGUAACGACUUCCCCGCUGUCUCAACCGCAGACCCGGCGAAAUUGCAUUACGAGUAAAGAUGCUCGUUACGCGCAGCAGGACGGAAAGACCCCGGGACCUUCACUACAGCUUGACAUUGGCGUUUGGAGCGUCUUGUGUAGGAUAGGUGGGAGACUGGGAAGCUCGGACGCUAGUUCGGGUGGAGUCAUUGGUGAAAUACCACUCUGGUCGUUUUGAACGUCUAACUCUGGUCCGUGAUCCGGAUCGGGGACAGUGUCUGGUGGGUAGUUUAACUGGGGCGGUUGCCUCCUAAAGGGUAACGGAGGCGCCCAAAGGUUCCCUCAGCCUGGUUGGUAAUCAGGUGUUGAGUGUAAGUGCACAAGGGAGCUUGACUGUGAGACUGACGGGUCGAGCAGGAGCGAAAGCUGGGACUAGUGAUCCGGCAUCGGCGUGUGGAAGCGGUGUCGCUCAACGGCUAAAAGGUACCCCGGGGAUAACAGGCUGAUCUUCCCCAAGAGUCCAUAUCGACGGGAUGGUUUGGCACCUCGAUGUCGGCUCGUCGCAUCCUGGGGCUGGAGUAGGUCCCAAGGGUUGGGCUGUUCGCCCAUUAAAGCGGUACGCGAGCUGGGUUUAGAACGUCGCGAGACAGUUCGGUCCCUAUCCGCUGCGCGCGCAGGAGACUUGAAAGGGGCUGUCCCUAGUACGAGAGGACCGGGACGGACGAACCUCUGGUGUGCCAGUUGUAUCGCCAGGUGCAUGGCUGGUUGGCUACGUUCGGAAGGGAUAACCGCUGAAAGCAUCUAAGCGGGAAGCUUGCCUUGAGAUGAGGUCUCCCACCCUGUGAGGGGGUAAGGCUCCCGGUGGAUGACCGGGUUGAUAGGCCGGAGGUGGAAGCGCGGUAACGUGUGGAGCUGACCGGUACUAAUAGGCCGAGGACUUGACCACAA
This 3132-nucleotide ribosomal RNA is filed under the name Nonomuraea terrae. Its description in RNAcentral is "Nonomuraea sp. CH32 23S ribosomal RNA". It matches the Rfam family "Bacterial large subunit ribosomal RNA". Lineage: Bacteria; Bacillati; Actinomycetota; Actinomycetes; Streptosporangiales; Streptosporangiaceae. The record is from RNAcentral.